GGCCUCGUAGCUCAGUUGGCUAGAGCGUUGGCUGAACUAAAGCCUUCCCUUUGCUGGCGUGGGUUCGAAUCCCACCGAGGCCG
Molecule: non-coding RNA, 83 nt
Organism: Schistocephalus solidus
Lineage: Eukaryota; Metazoa; Platyhelminthes; Cestoda; Diphyllobothriidea; Diphyllobothriidae
Source: Rfam